Molecule: ribosomal RNA, 464 nt
Filed under: Acanthamoeba genotype T4
Lineage: Eukaryota; Discosea; Longamoebia; Acanthamoebidae
Description: SSU rRNA
Rfam family: Eukaryotic small subunit ribosomal RNA
Source: RNAcentral
UUGGCCCAGAUCGUUUACCGUGAAAAAAUUAGAGUGUUCAAAGCAGGCAGAUCCAAUUUUCUGCCACCGAAUACAUUAGCAUGGGAUAAUGGAAUAGGACCCUGUCCUCCUAUUUUCAGUUGGUUUUGGCAGCGCGAGGACUAGGGUAAUGAUUAAUAGGGAUAGUUGGGGGCAUUAAUAUUUAAUUGUCAGAGGUGAAAUUCUUGGAUUUAUGAAAGAUUAACUUCUGCGAAAGCAUCUGCCAAGGAUGUUUUCAUUAAUCAAGAACGAAAGUUAGGGGAUCGAAGACGAUCAGAUACCGUCGUAGUCUUAACCAUAAACGAUGCCGACCAGCGAUUAGGAGACGUUGAAUACAAAACACCACCAUCGGUGCGGUCGUCCUUGGCGUCUCGGUUUCGGCCGGGGCGCGGGGAUGGCUUAGCCCGGUGGCACCGGUGAAUGACUCCCCUAGCAGCUUGUGAGAA